GACGAACGCUGGCGGCGUGCUUAACACAUGCAAGUCGAACGGAGUUACGUAUGAAGUAUUUCGGUACGGACUAUGUAACUUAGUGGCGAACGGGUGAGUAACACGUGGGCAACCUGCCCUUAACCGGGGGAUAACAUUGUGAAAACAGUGCUAAUACCGCAUAACAGAGUAUCGGGCAUCCGAUAUUUUAAAAGGAGCAAUCCGGUUUUGGAUGGGCCCGCGUCCAAUUAGCUAGUUGGUGAGGUAACGGCUCACCAAGGCUACGAUUGGUAGCCGAACUGAGAGGUUGAUCGGCCACAUUGGGACUGAGACACGGCCCAGACUCCUACGGGAGGCAGCAGUGGGGAAUAUUGGGCAAUGGGCGAAAGCCUGACCCAGCGACGCCGCGUGAAGGAUGAAGGUCUUCGGAUUGUAAACUUCUUUGAUCAGGGAAGAAAGAAAUGACGGUACCUGAAGAACAAGCCACGGCUAACUACGUG
This 479-nucleotide ribosomal RNA is filed under the name uncultured bacterium. Its description in RNAcentral is "bacterial SSU rRNA". It matches the Rfam family "Bacterial small subunit ribosomal RNA", at positions 28 to 507 of the family's 1533-position model. The record is from RNAcentral.